GAGAGGUGGCCGAGUGGUUGAAGGCGGCGGCUUGCUAAGCCGUUGUAGGGGUUAAACCCCCUACCGCGGGUUCGAAUCCCGCCCUCUCC
Molecule: transfer RNA, 89 nt
Filed under: marine eukaryotic metagenome
Rfam family: tRNA
About the family: Transfer RNA (tRNA) molecules are approximately 80 nucleotides in length. Their secondary structure includes four short double-helical elements and three loops (D, anti-codon, and T loops).
Source: RNAcentral